This 235-nucleotide ribosomal RNA is filed under the name uncultured bacterium. Its description in RNAcentral is "partial 16S ribosomal RNA". It matches the Rfam family "Bacterial small subunit ribosomal RNA", at positions 232 to 480 of the family's 1533-position model. The record is from RNAcentral.
GCNGUCCCAUUAGYNUAGUUGGUGGGGUAAUGGCCUACCAAGGCUACGAUGGGUANCUGGCUUGAGAGAGCGACCAGCCACACUGGAACUGAGACACGGUCCAGNACUCCUACGGGAGGCAGCAGUGGGGAAUUUUCCGCAAUGGGGGCAACCCUGACGCAGCGANCGCCGCGUGUGGGAAUGAAGGCCUUCGGGUCGUAAACCACUGUCGAACGGGACGAUAUUGACGGUACCC